AUACGGAGGGUGCAAGCGUUGUUCGGAAUCACUGGGCGUAAAGGGCGCGUAGGCGGCCUGAUUAGUCAGAUGUGAAAGCCCACGGCUUAACCGUGGAAGUGCAUUUGAAACUGUCAGGCUUGAGUAUCUGAGGGGAAAGUGGAAUUCCCGGUGUAGAGGUGAAAUUCGUAGAUAUCGGGAGGAAUACCGGUGGCGAAGGCGACUUUCUGGCUAGAUACUGACGCUGAGGCGCGAAAGCGUGGGUAGCAAACAGGAUUAGAAACCCUGGUAGUCC
This 274-nucleotide ribosomal RNA is filed under the name uncultured bacterium. RNAcentral's name for it is "partial 16S ribosomal RNA". It matches the Rfam family "Bacterial small subunit ribosomal RNA", at positions 523 to 796 of the family's 1533-position model. The record is from RNAcentral.